AGAGUUUGAUCCUGGCUCAGAAUGAACGCUGGCGGCGUGCCUAACACAUGCAAGUCGAACGAGAAAGCCCGCUUCGGCGGGCGAGUAAAGUGGCGUACGGGUGAGUAACGCGUAGGUAACCUGCCCCCGUGUCGGGGAUAACAUUCCGAAAGGGAUGCUAAUACCGGAUACGACCUUCUCCCGGGAGGGAGGAGGUGAAAGUCGGCCGAUUCUUCGGAAGCCGACGUACGGGGAUGGGCCUGCGUCCUAUCAGCUAGUUGGCAGGGUAACGGCCUACCAAGGCGACGACGGGUAGCUGGUCUGAGAGGAUGAUCAGCCACACUGGCACUGAAACACGGGCCAGACUCCUACGGGAGGCAGCAGUGAGGAAUUUUGCGCAAUGGGAGCAAUCCUGACGCAGCAACGCCGCGUGGGCGAUGAAGGCCUUCGGGUCGUAAAGCCCUGUCGGGUGGGAAGAAGAGCCCCGGGAAGAACGAGCCCGGGGAGUGACGGUACCACCAGAGGAAGCACCGGCUAACUCCGUGCCAGCAGCCGCGGUAAUACGGAGGGUGCAGGCGUUAUUCGGAAUUACUGGGCGUAAAGCGCGUGUAGGCGGGAUGGCCAGUCUGAUGUGAAAGCCCCGGGCUUAACCCGGGAAGUGCAUUGGAAACUGCCGUUCUUGAGUAUCGGAGAGGAAGGGAGAAUUCCCGGUGUAGAGGUGAAAUUCGUAGAGAUCGGGAGGAACACCAGUGGCGAAGGCGCCCUUCUGGACGAACACUGACGCUGAGACGCGAAAGCGUGGGGAGCAAACAGGAUUAGAUACCCUGGUAGUCC
Molecule: ribosomal RNA, 813 nt
Filed under: uncultured bacterium
Lineage: Bacteria
Description: bacterial SSU rRNA
Rfam family: Bacterial small subunit ribosomal RNA
Source: RNAcentral